This is a transfer RNA of 83 nucleotides. It matches the Rfam family "tRNA". Rfam says of the family: Transfer RNA (tRNA) molecules are approximately 80 nucleotides in length. Their secondary structure includes four short double-helical elements and three loops (D, anti-codon, and T loops). Further hydrogen bonds mediate the characteristic L-shaped molecular structure. tRNAs have two regions of fundamental functional importance: the anti-codon, which is responsible for specific mRNA codon recognition, and the 3' end, to which the tRNAs corresponding amino acid is attached (by aminoacyl-tRNA synthetases). tRNAs cope with the degeneracy of the genetic code in two manners: having more than one tRNA (with a specific anti-codon) for a particular amino acid; and 'wobble' base-pairing, i.e. permitting non-standard base-pairing at the 3rd anti-codon position.
GCCCAGGUGGCGGAACGGUAUACGCGCAACACUUAAAAUGUUGUGACCUAACGGUCUUGUGGGUUCGAAUCCCGCCCUGGGCA